UGGGGAAUUUUGGACAAUGGGCGCAAGCCUGAUCCAGCCAUGCCGCGUGCGGGAAGAAGGCCUUCGGGUUGUAAACCGCUUUUGUCAGGGAAGAAAUCUUCUGAGUUAAUACCUCGGGAGGAUGACGGUACCUGAAGAAUAAGCACCGGCUAACUACGUGCCAGCAGCCGCGGUAAUACGUAGGGUGCAAGCGUUAAUCGGAAUUACUGGGCGUAAAGCGUGCGCAGGCGGUUUUGUAAGACAGAGGUGAAAUCCCCGGGCUCAACCUGGGAACUGCCUUUGUGACUGCAAGGCUUGAGUGCGGCAGAGGGGGAUGGAAUUCCGCGUGUAGCAGUGAAAUGCGUAGAUAUGCGGAGGAACACCGAUGGCGAAGGCAAUCCCCUGGGCCUGCACUGACGCUCAUGCACGAAAGCGUGGGGAGCAAAACAGGAUUAGAUCCCUGGUAGUCCACGCCCUAAAACGAUGUCAACUGGUUGUUGGGAAGGUUCCUUCUCAGUAACGUAGCUAACGCGUGAAGUUGGCCGCCUGGGGAGUACGGCCGCAAGGUUGAAACUCAAAUGAAUUGACGGGGUCAUAGCUGUUUCCUG
RNAcentral lists this ribosomal RNA (587 nucleotides) under uncultured bacterium. RNAcentral describes it as "partial 16S ribosomal RNA". It matches the Rfam family "Bacterial small subunit ribosomal RNA", at positions 355 to 1376 of the family's 1533-position model. The record is from RNAcentral.